AAGGGUAUAGCUCAGUGGUAGAUGUGUGCUUAGUAUGCACGAGGUCCUGGGUUCAAUCCCCAGUACCUCCA
This 71-nucleotide transfer RNA is filed under the name Camelus bactrianus (Bactrian camel). It matches the Rfam family "tRNA". Rfam says of the family: Transfer RNA (tRNA) molecules are approximately 80 nucleotides in length. Their secondary structure includes four short double-helical elements and three loops (D, anti-codon, and T loops). Lineage: Eukaryota; Metazoa; Chordata; Mammalia; Artiodactyla; Camelidae. The record is from Rfam by way of RNAcentral. RNAcentral also lists the same sequence under 2 other names.